AUAUUUUAAGCUGUGUUAUGAUCUUGUAAAUUGCUCUAAUGGUGGACAAUCCAGAUCAUACAAGGAUCAGAGAUUGGAAACCCAUUCGUAUCACCAGAUCUGUGGAAGAGCCAUUCUGGCUUCUUGAGGUCAAAUACAUUUGGUGCAAUGUAGUGAUUCUUUUCAUGUCUAACCACGUAGAGUGGCAUUUAAUUCCCCCGUCCCCGUGAUUCCUCCAUGUGUUUCUACACAUGAAACAGAUCUUGUGAUAUUUUGCUGCAGUCAUUUUGAUUAACGCAGUUAAGGCAGGAUAAAGCUGUUGUCAGGGCACUUACCACCUGAGAAGUGACUGGAUUCCAGAAGAGGAAACAGAGUUUCUUCGUGAAAAUUUUCAACAUAUUAUUCCCCUUCCGGACUGCAUUUAUCUCCCACCGUCAGAAGAGAUUCUGAUUUUCAUAUUGGAUUGUUCUGUUAAAAGAAAUUCAAAGAAAUUUGGAAGUUGAGCUGUCAUUGAAUGGUGAUUGCAUUCGGUUCAGCACCUUGGACAUUGGAAAAUCAGUCAGAAGACCCAGACUUGAACAAAAACUCGAAGAAGACUAUUGAGAAGCAGCCGCGUGGUUGUAGGUGUUUAAAUCUGUGGGGGCCUUUUCUCUUCCGUGUAGCGUAGAGGCUUACCUAGAGGCGGUCGCGGCGCAGGUAGUGUAACCAGUAUAACUUUGUGUACCCGCGGGUUUUCCAAUCUCUGUGUAGCUAGCAGUUCUCUUCGUGUUAGUGUGGCAGCCGUGCCAGUUCCACAUUUGUGAUUGCUUUAUUUCCCUGGUAAUUAAACCUUGUGCCAUUCUAUUCCUGUUAAAUCCGUAGAAAAUGAGAAAAUACUCGACAUUUUGGGGGAAACUUGUAAAUCUGAGCCAGUAAAAGAAGAAAGUUCCGAGCUGGAGCAGCCAUUUGCACAGGACACAAGUAGCGUGGGGCCAGACAGAAAGCUUGCGGAGGAAGAGGACCUAUUUGACAGCGCCCAUCCGGAAGAGGGUGAUUUAGAUUUGGCCAGCGAGUCAACAGCACACGCUCAGUCGAGCAAGGCAGACAGCCUGUUAGCGGUAGUGAAAAGGGAGCCCGCGGAGCAGCCAGGCGAUGGCGAGAGGACGGACUGUGAGCCUGUAGGGCUAGAGCCGGCAGUUGAGCAGAGUAGUGCGGCCUCCGAGCUCGCGGAGGCCUCUAGCGAGGAGCUCGCAGAAGCACCCACGGAAGCCCCAAGCCCAGAAGCCAGAGAUAGCAAAGAAGACGGGAGGAAGUUUGAUUUUGACGCUUGUAAUGAAGUCCCUCCGGCUCCUAAAGAGUCCUCAACCAGUGAGGGCGCUGAUCAGAAAAUGAGGUUUGUUUUUUCUCAGUUUUAGACCAGACGCUAUCUCCUUUUCAUUGGUCAUGUAAUGACACACAUAAGCUGUUUUUUUCUGCAAUUGGCCAGCCAGACUGACGAAAUUGUAGUUUUGCUUCUAAAGAAUGUUUCGUUUCUCUUUGUGUGUUUUUAAUGGGUGAUUCAAUUCCUUUUCUUUUUCUCAACCUACCAUGGUUGUGUUCUUAAAUUGUUAAUUGUUAUCUUCAGCUAAAUCGAAUUGACUUUUACAAAUCUGACAUUGUAUUUUUGGGGUCAGAUUUUCCAAUAUAAGCUUGCAGAGGUGUCUGUUAAAAUUUUAUUUCAGACUAAUUUUCUGGUAGGUAUUCAGUUUUAGCACAUAAUCAUAUUUUUAGUUUUGUUCUCUUUCGUUUUUUUCCUGUAUGAGUAACAUUAACUUUUGUCUCUAGCUCUUUUAAGGAAGAAAAAGAUAUAAAGCCAAUCAUUAAAGAUGAAAAAGGUCGGGUCGGCAGCAGUUCUGGUCGGAACCUGUGGGUCAGCGGGCUGUCCUCCACAACACGCGCUACGGAUCUCAAGAACCUUUUCAGCAAGUAUGGGAAGGUUGUCGGGGCCAAAGUGGUAACGAACGCCCGCAGCCCGGGGGCUCGAUGCUAUGGAUUCGUCACCAUGUCGACAUCUGACGAGGCGACCAAGUGCAUCAGCCAUCUCCACAGAACUGAGCUGCAUGGACGAAUGAUCUCCGUAGAGAAGGCCAAAAAUGAGCCUGCUGGGAAAAAGCUUUCCGACAGAAAAGAGUGCGAAGUGAAGAAGGAAAAAUUAUCGAGUGUCGACAGACAUCAUUCUGUGGAGAUCAAAAUUGAAAAAACUAUAAUUAAGAAGGAAGAGAAGAUUGAGAAGAAGGAGGAAAAAAAGCCUGAAGACAUU
This 2257-nucleotide small RNA is filed under the name Pan troglodytes (chimpanzee). Its description in RNAcentral is "retained intron". The record is from RNAcentral. Lineage: Eukaryota; Metazoa; Chordata; Mammalia; Primates; Hominidae.